This 406-nucleotide unclassified non-coding RNA is filed under the name soil metagenome. Its description in RNAcentral is "partial contains 5.8S ribosomal RNA, internal transcribed spacer 2, and large subunit ribosomal RNA". The stretch from base 1 to 121 matches the Rfam family "5.8S ribosomal RNA", at positions 35 to 154 of the family's 154-position model. The record is from RNAcentral.
GAUGAAGAACGUAGCGAAAUGCGAUAAGUAAUGUGAAUUGCAGAAUUCAGUGAAUCAUCGAAUCUUUGAACGCACCUUGCGCCCUUUGGCCAUUCCGAAGGGCAUGCCUGUUUGAGUAUCAUGAACACCUCAACUCUUCAUGGUUUUCCGUGAUGAGCUUGGACUUUGGGGGUCUUGCUGGCCUAUGGUCAGCUCCUCUAAAAUAAAUCAGCUUGCCAGUGUUUGGUGGGUAUCACAGGUGUGAUAACUAUCUACGCUUGUGGUUUUCCACCAGGUAACCUUCAGCAGUGGAGGUUCGCUGGAGCUCACCGAUGUGUCUCUCCUCAGUGAGGACAGCUCUUUGAAUGUUUGAUCUCAAAUCAGGUAGGACUACCCGCUGAACUUAAGCAUAUCAAUAAGCGGAGGA